Molecule: long non-coding RNA, 219 nt
Filed under: Homo sapiens (human)
Lineage: Eukaryota; Metazoa; Chordata; Mammalia; Primates; Hominidae
Description: HSALNT0006083
Source: RNAcentral
GGCAGAGCUUUGCAAGACAGGAUGGGUGAGUUUAUUAAGGGGGUUGACUUACUGGGAUUACUAGAGAAGAAAAAGGUUUGACUAGAGAGGCUAGAAAUGGAGCAUGGAGAUUGUGGGUAGAACAUUCCCUUGACCCUCUCGCCAACACAUGCCCACACACCAGGUUAGCAGUUUACCUCUUUGUAAAUCUGAAGCGGUGGUAGUAGUGAUGGUGGAAGG